AUUGACGGACUGAAGGCUCUUCUCGAUUCCGUGGAAAGUGGUGCAUGGCCGUUUUGGUUGGUGGAUCGAUCCGUCUGGUUAAUUCCGUUAACGAACGAGACCUCGGCACUCCGAAUAGCGCGGCGGACGUCGCGGCCUCCGGGCCGUCUUCCGCACGAGCUUCUUAGAGGGACCGUCCCCCGCCGGGGAAGGAGGUGCGAGGCAACGACAGGUCUGUGAUGCCCUUAGAUGUUCUGGGCCGCACGCGCAUUACACUGACGCGUCCAACGGGUGACUCCCGACCCGAAGGGGCCGGGGAAUCCGCAAGGCGCGUCGUGAUGGGGAUUGAACGUUGCAAUUGUUGUUCACGAACGAGGAAUUCCUAGUAGGCGCGGGUCAUCAACCCGCGCCGAUUACGUCCCUGCCCUUUGUACACACCGCCC
This 422-nucleotide ribosomal RNA is filed under the name uncultured eukaryote. Its description in RNAcentral is "bacterial SSU rRNA". It matches the Rfam family "Eukaryotic small subunit ribosomal RNA", at positions 1239 to 1674 of the family's 1831-position model. The record is from RNAcentral.